GACGAACGCUGGCGGCGUGCCUAAUACAUGCAAGUCGAGCGGACGAAUCGAAAGCUUGCUUUUGAUUCGUUAGCGGCGGACGGGUGAGUAACACGUGGGCAACCUGCCCUGUAGACGGGGAUAACACCGAGAAAUCGGUGCUAAUACCGGAUAACACGAAAUGUCGCAUGACGUUUCGUUGAAAGACGGCGCAAGCUGUCGUUACAGGAUGGGCCCGCGGCGCAUUAGCUAGUUGGUGAGGUAACGGCUCACCAAGGCGACGAUGCGUAGCCGACCUGAGAGGGUGAUCGGCCACACUGGGACUGAGACACGGCCCAGACUCCUACGGGAGGCAGCAGUAGGGAAUCUUCCGCAAUGGACGAAAGUCUGACGGAGCAACGCCGCGUGAGCGAAGAAGGCCUUCGGGUCGUAAAGCUCUGUUGUUAGGGAAGAACAAGUAACGCAGUAACUGGCGUUACCGUGACGGUACCUAACGAGAAAGCCACGGCUAACUACGUG
This 498-nucleotide ribosomal RNA is filed under the name uncultured bacterium. RNAcentral's name for it is "partial 16S ribosomal RNA". It matches the Rfam family "Bacterial small subunit ribosomal RNA", at positions 28 to 507 of the family's 1533-position model. The record is from RNAcentral.